AUUGAACGCUGGCGGCAGGCCUAACACAUGCAAGUCGAGCGGAUGAAGGGAGCUUGCUCCUGGAUUCAGCGGCGGACGGGUGAGUAAUGCCUAGGAAUCUGCCUGGUAGUGGGGGAUAACGUCCGGAAACGGGCGCUAAUACCGCAUACGUCCUGAGGGAGAAAGUGGGGGAUCUUCGGACCUCACGCUAUCAGAUGAGCCUAGGUCGGAUUAGCUAGUUGGUGGGGUAAAGGCCUACCAAGGCGACGAUCCGUAACUGGUCUGAGAGGAUGAUCAGUCACACUGGAACUGAGACACGGUCCAGACCCCUACGGGAGGCAGCAGUGGGGAAUAUUGGACAAUGGGCGAAAGCCUGAUCCAGCCAUGCCGCGUGUGUGAAGAAGGUCUUCGGAUUGUAAAGCACUUUAAGUUGCGAGGAAGGGCAGUAAGUUAAUACCUUGCUGUUUUGACGUUACCAACAGAAUAAGCACCGGCUAACUUCGUG
RNAcentral lists this ribosomal RNA (484 nucleotides) under uncultured bacterium. RNAcentral's name for it is "partial 16S ribosomal RNA". It matches the Rfam family "Bacterial small subunit ribosomal RNA", at positions 30 to 507 of the family's 1533-position model. The record is from RNAcentral.